This 106-nucleotide small nuclear RNA is filed under the name Macaca fascicularis (crab-eating macaque). Lineage: Eukaryota; Metazoa; Chordata; Mammalia; Primates; Cercopithecidae. The record is from RNAcentral.
GCUUGUUUCAGCAGUGCAUAUACUAAAAUUGUAAUGAUACAGAGACAAUUAGCAUGGCCCCUGUGCAAGGAUGACACAAAAAAAAAAAAAGAAAAAAAAACACUUU